RNAcentral lists this ribosomal RNA (468 nucleotides) under uncultured bacterium. RNAcentral's name for it is "partial 16S ribosomal RNA". It matches the Rfam family "Bacterial small subunit ribosomal RNA", at positions 28 to 507 of the family's 1533-position model. The record is from RNAcentral.
GACGAACGCUGGCGGCGUGCUUAACACAUGCAAGUCGAACGGAAAGGCCCUGCUUUUGUGGGGUGCUCGAGUGGCGAACGGGUGAGUAACACGUGAGUAACCUGCCCUUGACUUUGGGAUAACUUCAGGAAACUGGGGCUAAUACCGGAUAGGAGCUCCUGCUGCAUGGUGGGGGUUGGAAAGUUUCGGCGGUUGGGGAUGGACUCGCGGCUUAUCAGCUUGUUGGUUGGGUAGUGGCUUACCAAGGCUUUGACGGGUAGCCGGCCUGAGAGGGUGACCGGCGACAUUGAGACUGAGAUACGGCCGAGACUGCUACGGGAGGCAGCAGUGGGGAAUAUUGCACAAGGGGCGGAAGGCUGAUGCAGCAACGCCGCGUGCGGGAUGACGGCCUUCGGGUUGUAAAACGCUUUCGCCUGUGACGAAGCGUGAGUGACGGUAAUGGGUAAAGAAGCACCGGCUAACUACGUG